Long non-coding RNA from Zootermopsis nevadensis, 1693 nucleotides. RefSeq lists it as uncharacterized. Lineage: Eukaryota; Metazoa; Arthropoda; Insecta; Blattodea; Termopsidae. The record is from RefSeq and is a predicted model, not a curated record.
CGCAGCUGUGCCAAGACUAAAGUCCACAUACUGAUGAAGACAACAGAUAAAUACUGGCAUAGCAAGCUGAGUGUUUCAAUAGCAAAACAAAAUGCUCUUAUUUGAAGAAGAAAAAUAAGUGCAAUAAGUAUUGUAAUAAUGUAUAUAACAUUCAACUAUCAUUCUACAGAAACAAACUAAGAAAGUGAAAUGCAUUCAGAUUCUUGUUGCUGUUGAUAAUAGUGAAAACAGAAAUUAAAUAACAUGAACCAGGAUAAUUUUUCAGUAAAGUGACUGGUUACUAGAUGGAUGACUGGGGUUCAACUUAUGGCAGGGACAGAGAUUGUUUUCUUUGGUACUACAUGCAGAACAGAUCUGAGAACCAACCAAUAUUCUGUUCAAUGUGUACGGGGGCCUUUUCUAAAGCACCCACGGCAUGAAGCAGACCACUUAUUUCUAUCAAAUGCUAAGGUCUAGAAUAUUUGGAACUGUUCCAAGCCCUAUCUGCUUUAAUGAAGUAAUGCCUGGGCACUGGGACAACUUUACCUUUAUUAUGAUUCUGUAAUGCAGCAUCCCAGUGUGUUACUCUUCAGAUACUUGAUACUUGUUUGACUGUCACUUGGUUUUUAAUAUGAGUAAAAUGACUACAUACACACAUCAAACAUGAAGAUGGUCACAUGCUGCCAAAAUAUAUACAGUGGAUUCCAGUUAAUUGGGACACAUCAGGACUAGAACAUUUUGGCCCAAUUAAGUGGCUGCCCCAAUUAUGCGUAGUUCCAUGUAAAGGGUUAAAAAGGUUUGUUCUUUAAGAUUUGUCCCAAAUAAAUGGCUGCCCCGAUUAACCAAUGGCCCAAUUAACUGGAAUCUACUGUAGUUCAUUAAACAUUUAGAAAGUGUUAAACAGUGUGUGUGAAAGUGACACUUAAAACAAACAUCAAGAAUCUGAAGAGAAAAUUACUGUUUUAAAAGACAUUUUUCACAAUAUGAAAAUAUUCAAUUCAAGACACUGACACUGUACACCAGUGUUCUGCAACUGCCGCGCCAUAACAAGGUUUCAGAUGUUGCGUGAAUUUUUAUAAAAAAUUAAACCCUAUACUCACAUGCAGUUAGAAACAGAUGGUAACUUAUCUUUCGUACACAGAAUCCCUAAUGCAAACACACUGGUCUGUCAUUGACAGUUUUAUUCAACAUAUGUUGUUUUGUUCUCAUAUGCCUGCACUUCUACAGGGCAAGAAUUUAUAUGUAGUAUCAUAUUUAUGACUGUGUAGUUUCAUAUCCCCAUUUCAUCAGGCAAAAUUAUGUGAUGUUCCAUCAUGUGGUUUUGACAAAUUAGGGUGUGCCAUGAGUGAAAAAAGGUUGCCAAAAACACUGCUGUAACUAAGAAAUUUUCUAUACACAACUACAAAAACAAAAAUCUAACAAUGAAGUCAUUUGGAACUUUCUUUGAAUGAGAACAUUAUUUUGCUUCAGAAAUUGUACAAUAUUUGGGUGUAUAAAUUAAUCUAGCUUCAAAUGUACUGGCACCUAUUACGCUUUGCAUUAUGAAAUAUCACAAAAUGUUGCAUACUAAACAGAAAUCAUGCAAUAUUUAUACAAGUUACUGCAAAACAAAAUACCUAUUCACAUGCACUGAGUUGUAAAUUCUGACCUAUACUUAGAACGUACAGAAUACAUUUAUUGAAAAUAAUAAACUGAAAGGAGAGGUAAUGUCAUA